GGGAGGAGCGAAAAGAGGAUCUAGCUCGAUCAACAAGCAAGAGGACUUUGCUGCAGCAAAACUUGUGUUAUCCUGUCUAAAUUUGAUUGAAUAAUGUCAUCCAAGUGUCCAGCCUGUUCUAAAACUGUUUAUUUUGCUGAACGUGUUAGUAGCUUGGGCAAAGACUGGCACCGUCCUUGUUUGAAAUGUGUGAAGUGUAAGAAGACCCUCAACCCUGGUGGGCAUGCUGAGCAUGAAGGCAAGCCAUAUUGUAACCAGCCAUGUUACAGUGCAUUGUUUGGUCCUGGUGGAUUUGGUAGAGGUGGAACAGAGUCACACAAGUACUGAUAAGCUAAAUACUUUUAGGCUAUCAUUUUAUCGAAAAAGAAAAAAGAAACAAACAAAACUUCAAUUUACCUUCAAUUAUAAUAAACAUAAGAGAUUUUUUGUCUAUUACAUUAAUAAUUGUCUCUUAGCAAAUGAAACUAUACCCACCCAA
Long non-coding RNA from Amphimedon queenslandica, 478 nucleotides. RefSeq lists it as uncharacterized. The transcript is spliced from 4 exons. NCBI's taxonomy places the organism in Eukaryota, Metazoa, Porifera, Demospongiae, Haplosclerida, Niphatidae. The record is from RefSeq and is a predicted model, not a curated record.